UGGCAUCAAUAUGUGCAGAUUUUGACAUGCGACGCCAGUGCAUUGACAGAUGUUGGUGGAUCAUGAGGCACCAUGCCAUCAAGUUGCACUGCAUACAAUUGUUCAAACAGAAGUGAUCAAGGCUAUGCAUUGGUAAGAUAUCCGCAUGAUGAAAGUUUAAAGAGAAAAUAGAUUGCUACAGUUGGAAGAAGCAAGAACUGGUCACCUAGUAGUUCUCAAAAACUUUGCGAGAUACAUUUUAAGCCAUCAGAAAUCGAAUUUGUUGCUAGACGCAAACGUGUAAAGUUUGAUGCAAUUCCAUCUCGUUUUUGUACGUGUUCUUCAAAAGAU
Long non-coding RNA from Pseudomyrmex gracilis, 330 nucleotides. RefSeq lists it as uncharacterized. The record is from RefSeq and is a predicted model, not a curated record. NCBI's taxonomy places the organism in Eukaryota, Metazoa, Arthropoda, Insecta, Hymenoptera, Formicidae. The transcript has 3 exons.